RNAcentral lists this ribosomal RNA (301 nucleotides) under uncultured bacterium. RNAcentral describes it as "partial 16S ribosomal RNA". It matches the Rfam family "Bacterial small subunit ribosomal RNA", at positions 509 to 807 of the family's 1533-position model. The record is from RNAcentral.
CAGCCGCCACGGGAAUACGUAGGUGGCAAGCGUUGUCCGGAAUUAUUGGGCGUAAAGGGCUCGCAGGCGGUUUCUUAAGUCUGAUGUGAAAGCCCCCGGCUCAACCGGGGAGGGUCAUUGGAAACUGGGAAACUUGAGUGCAGAAGAGGAGAGUGGAAUUCCACGUGUAGCGGUGAAAUGCGUAGAGAUGUGGAGGAACACCAGUGGCGAAGGCGACUCUCUGGUCUGUAACUGACGCUGAGGAGCGAAAGCGUGGGGAGCGAACAGGAUUAGAGACCCCGGUAGUCCCUGUCUCUUAUAC